RNAcentral lists this long non-coding RNA (1532 nucleotides) under Homo sapiens (human). Its description in RNAcentral is "non-protein coding lnc-DPY19L1-2:1". The record is from RNAcentral. Lineage: Eukaryota; Metazoa; Chordata; Mammalia; Primates; Hominidae.
UUGAUUCUUCCCUCUUUUCUUCUUUAUUAGUCUUGCUAGCAGUCUAUCAAUUUUGUUGAUCUUUUCAGAAAACCAGCUCCUGGAUUCAUUGACUUUUCGAAGGGUUUUUGUGUCUCUAUCUCCUUCAGUUCUGCUCUGAUCUUAGUUAUUUCUUGCCUUCUGCUAGCUUUGAGUGCAUAUGCAAAUCAGAAGAACCACAUGCUCUUUACUGAUGUCAUGGAUUCAGUCAUCUGUUCAUUCACUUGCUUAGAUCUUACAUUUAAGUCUUUGAUCUAUCUUGAGUUAAUGUUUGUAUAUUGUCAUAGGUAGGGUUUCAUUCUUCUGCAUAUCAGAUGGGAGUGCAGUGGCAUGAUCUUGGCUCACUGCUGCCUUGACCUUCUGGGCACCAAUAAUUCUCCCACCUCAGCCUCCCUGGCAACUGGGACUACAGGUGUGCAUCACCUUAUGGUUUUAUACAAUUUAGAAUAAUUUAUUUUUAGCCAUGACAUAUGUAACUAUAAAUAUGAAUGUGUAUUUUUCUUUGUCUGUUUAUCAUUGUAACUAGUUCCAGGGUUCUUUUUUAGGGAGCAACUUCCUUUGUUAAAAAUGUUUUUCAUUUCAGGAAUUCUUCAUUUAAAAUGCUUCUGACCUGACCCCUAGAGUUUUUCUAGAAACAAUUAACAAAUAAAAACACUGUCCAGGAGAUGUACAUGAAAUUAAGCCCAGAUUAAUACAACGAUGAUGAAUUAGAACAUACAACUUUUGUCUUUGAUAAUAUGUAGUGAAUUUUCAAUUAUCAUUUGUUUAUUGUUUAUGAAAAAACUUUAAAUUUCAAGCUGAUAUUCUUGCCACCUCUAAAUCCUUUCAUUCUGAAAGAAUAUGUAGUUCCAUACAACAUGCAUUACCACACUGUAAUCGAAGAAAUAUAAUGAAAAUAAGCUGUGGCAUCCUCAUCCAGGGAUAUUUGCCUCUAAGCAUUUGCUGGAUGAUCCUAAUUACCUCUACUUCUACGGUUAUAGGAGUGAAAAAUUGGAGUUCUUGUUGGUAGGAAAGAUUGAAGAAACUUUCCCCCAUCCCAGGUUCCAUCUUCAGAACUCUUGCUCCUUUUACCUUCUCUGUAUUUUUCACUGGUGCCUUGGAUGUUUACCCUGGCCACUGCAGCCCAGCUCAAGCAGGUGGGCUUGUUAUACUUUGUUAGAAAGAAAAAGGGGAAUUUCAGGUUACUAACAAUGUAUGGCUAAGAUUCUCUUGUAAGUUACAGUGUCAUAAAUUUUUGAAAUAUUAUGGCUCAAGACUAAAUUCUAAAGAGCUCCACUACCAUUACUACAGCUGAGAUAACAGUACAGGUUGAAAUGUACCAAAUAGCCCUUUCUGAAAGUCAUUUGCCGUCACUCCUUGUAAGCAUUUAAUAUUUAAAUUUUUCCUUUUGCAUUUUUUUUUCUAUAGUCUGAUCCAAAUUAAGCUAAUAUAACAGCCAUCUUGCUCCCAGAGCUUAGGACUCCAAGUGUGGCUUAUGCUGGACCUUCUGUGAAUCUCAUUUUCUCACUUUCUUU